Molecule: transfer RNA, 72 nt
Filed under: Spirochaetales bacterium
Lineage: Bacteria; Pseudomonadati; Spirochaetota; Spirochaetia; Spirochaetales
Description: tRNA-Val
Rfam family: tRNA
About the family: Transfer RNA (tRNA) molecules are approximately 80 nucleotides in length. Their secondary structure includes four short double-helical elements and three loops (D, anti-codon, and T loops). Further hydrogen bonds mediate the characteristic L-shaped molecular structure. tRNAs have two regions of fundamental functional importance: the anti-codon, which is responsible for specific mRNA codon recognition, and the 3' end, to which the tRNAs corresponding amino acid is attached (by aminoacyl-tRNA synthetases). tRNAs cope with the degeneracy of the genetic code in two manners: having more than one tRNA (with a specific anti-codon) for a particular amino acid; and 'wobble' base-pairing, i.e. permitting non-standard base-pairing at the 3rd anti-codon position.
Source: RNAcentral
GGAGCUGUAACUCAGCGGGAGAGUGUUUCCUUCACACGGAAGAAGUCGUUGGUUCAAUCCCAAUCAGCUCCA